This is a long non-coding RNA of Hydractinia symbiolongicarpus, 802 nucleotides long. RefSeq lists it as uncharacterized. The transcript is spliced from 3 exons. The record is from RefSeq and is a predicted model, not a curated record. Lineage: Eukaryota; Metazoa; Cnidaria; Hydrozoa; Anthoathecata; Hydractiniidae.
AGUGUACAAAGUUUACCUUCCCAAAAUGAAUCGCUGAAUUGCAAAAGAAAGUUGAGUGAAAUGAAAAAUUAUGAAAUGAAAAAAAUGCUUUUUGCUCUUAAGUGACUUUAACAAAUGAAUUCGUAAUAUGUACUGUGUUCUAUUUAGAUGUUUGUUUCUUUUAUCUAGCUAGUCGUAUCUAAUUUUUUUUAUAACUUCUUUGUGCAUUCCUUCAGCAGAAGAUAUUAAUGUAUAUAAAAUGUUUUAAUUAUAAUAAAUAGCUGGCUGUCAUGUUGUAUAUAAUAUUUUUUACGAAAAUAAAAUGUUAAAUCAUUAUUUUGAAUUUUUUUCUUAUCAAUGUUUUGGGUAUAUAACCUCUUAAAGGUGUAAAAAAUUAACAAAGACCAAAAGACCUGACCAUGCUGCCUAUGCACACUGUUUUCCUGAAUUGUUAUCGUUGCAUUAAACAAAAUUUUUACUUCUAAAAGGCGAUUAGUUAAUAAACUCAUUCAUUUCAGACACGAGGUCUGAACAUAUAUAGUGAUAAUCCUAAAGCAUGAAUAAUAAUGUAGUAGAACAAUGUAAAAAAAUGAUCACUCAAGCUGCAGCGAUACUUUUCUGGGUUUUUUUUUGUGUAUCGUAUGGACUGUAAAUUAUAACACUAUCUUGCUGGAUAAGCGACGAUUAAAAUGGCUGCAGUGCAUUGUUUACUGUAAGAUUGAGUGGCAAUCAUCACAUUUAAGGAUACUAUUGUAAAUGCAACAAAGCAGGAGAGUGAGUGCAAGAUUGAAUGUGAGGGUAAUCCUGACAUGGCAGCAGUAGU